This 754-nucleotide ribosomal RNA is filed under the name Hypsibius cf. convergens 2 EK-2007. RNAcentral's name for it is "SSU rRNA". It matches the Rfam family "Eukaryotic small subunit ribosomal RNA", at positions 103 to 873 of the family's 1831-position model. Lineage: Eukaryota; Metazoa; Tardigrada; Eutardigrada; Parachela; Hypsibiidae. The record is from RNAcentral.
AAAUCAGUUAUGGUUCACUAGAUCGUACAGUUUACAUGGAUAACUGUGGUAAUUCUAGAGCUAAUACAUGCAACCAGUCCGUGCCCUCGUGGUGCGGACGCAGUUAUUUGCCCAAGACCAAUCCGGCCCUCGGGUCGUUCAAUUGGUGACUCUGAAUAACCGAAGCAGAGCGCUUAGUCUCGUACUGGCGCCAGAUCUUUCAAGUGUCUGACUUAUCAGCUUGUUGUUAGGUUAUGUUCCUAACAAGGCUCUCACGGGUAACGGAGUGUCAGGGCCCGACACCGGAGAGGGAGCCUGAGAAACGGCUACCACAUCCAAGGAAGGCAGCAGGCGCGCAAAUUACCCACUCCCGGCACGGGGAGGUAGUGACGAAAAAUAACGAUGCGAGAGCUUUUAGCUUCUCGUAAUCGGAAUGGGUACACUUUAAAUCCUUUAACGAGGAUCUAUUGGAGGGCAAGUCUGGUGCCAGCAGCCGCGGUAAUUCCAGCUCCAAUAGCGUAUAUUAAAGUUGCUGCGGUUAAAAAGCUCGUAGUUGGAUCUGGGUAGUCGAUGGACGGUGCUUCGUAAGGAGCUACUGCCCGUUCGGCACCACAGCCCGGCCAUGUCUUGCAUGCUCUUCACUGAGUGUGCUUGGCGACCGGAACGUUUACUUUGAAAAAAUUAGAGUGCUCAAAGCAGGCGUUAAGCCUUGUAUAAUGGUGCAUGGGAUAAUGGAAUAAGAUUUUUGNUUUNAGAGGCCNAGAAGGUNAUNGAU